CAGGAUGAACGCUGGCGGCGUGCCUAAUACAUGCAAGUCGAACGCACAGCGAAAGGUGCUUGCACCUUUCAAGUGAGUGGCGAACGGGUGAGUAACACGUGGACAACCUGCCUCAAGGCUGGGGAUAACAUUUGGAAACAGAUGCUAAUACCGAAUAAAACUUAGUGUCGCAUGACACAAAGUUAAAAGGCGCUUCGGCGUCACCUAGAGAUGGAUCCGCGGUGCAUUAGUUAGUUGGUGGGGUAAAGGCCUACCAAGACAAUGAUGCAUAGCCGAGUUGAGAGACUGAUCGGCCACAUUGGGACUGAGACACGGCCCAAACUCCUACGGGAGGCUGCAGUAGGGAAUCUUCCACAAUGGGCGAAAGCCUGAUGGAGCAACGCCGCGUGUGUGAUGAAGGCUUUCGGGUCGUAAAGCACUGUUGUAUGGGAAGAACAGCUAGAAUAGGAAAUGAUUUUAGUUUGACGGUACCAUACCAGAAAGGGACGGCUAAAUACGUGCCAGCAGCCGCGGUAAUACGUAUGUCCCGAGCGUUAUCCGGAUUUAUUGGGCGUAAAGCGAGCGCAGACGGUUUAUUAAGUCUGAUGUGAAAGCCCGGAGCUCAACUCCGGAAUGGCAUUGGAAACUGGUUAACUUGAGUGCAGUAGAGGUAAGUGGAACUCCAUGUGUAGCGGUGGAAUGCGUAGAUAUAUGGAAGAACACCAGUGGCGAAGGCGGCUUACUGGACUGCAACUGACGUUGAGGCUCGAAAGUGUGGGUAGCAAACAGGAUUAG
This 774-nucleotide ribosomal RNA is filed under the name Leuconostoc mesenteroides. RNAcentral describes it as "bacterial SSU rRNA". It matches the Rfam family "Bacterial small subunit ribosomal RNA", at positions 25 to 781 of the family's 1533-position model. The record is from RNAcentral. Lineage: Bacteria; Bacillati; Bacillota; Bacilli; Lactobacillales; Lactobacillaceae.